This 483-nucleotide ribosomal RNA is filed under the name uncultured bacterium. Its description in RNAcentral is "bacterial SSU rRNA". It matches the Rfam family "Bacterial small subunit ribosomal RNA", at positions 25 to 518 of the family's 1533-position model. The record is from RNAcentral.
CAGGAUGAACGCUGGCGGCGUGCUUAACACAUGCAAGUCGAACGGAGAUUACUUUUAGCUUGCUAUUUGUAAUCUUAGUGGCGGACGGGUGAGUAACGCGUGGGUAACCUGCCUUAUCCAGGGGGAUAACAGUGAGAAAUUACUGCUAAUACCGCAUAAGCGCACAGUUUCGCAUGAAACAGUGUGAAAAGAUUUAUCGGGAUAAGAUGGACCCGCGUCUGAUUAGCUAGUUGGUGAGGUAACGGCCCACCAAGGCGACGAUCAGUAGCCGGCCUGAGAGGGUGAACGGCCACAUUGGGACUGAGACACGGCCCAAACUCCUACGGGAGGCAGCAGUGGGGAAUAUUGCACAAUGGGGGAAACCCUGAAUGCAGCGACGCCGCGUGAGUGAAGAAGUAUUUCGGUAUGUAAAGCUCUAUCAGCAGGGAAGAAAAUGACGGUACCUGACUAAGAAGCCCCGGCUAACUACGUGCCAGCCGCCGC